Molecule: non-coding RNA, 24 nt
Filed under: Arabidopsis thaliana (thale cress)
Lineage: Eukaryota; Viridiplantae; Streptophyta; Magnoliopsida; Brassicales; Brassicaceae
Source: RNAcentral
UCCAACUUCAGUCUCAGUCUAGAU